Small nuclear RNA from Solanum stenotomum, 161 nucleotides. RefSeq annotates it as U1 spliceosomal RNA. The transcript has a single exon. Lineage: Eukaryota; Viridiplantae; Streptophyta; Magnoliopsida; Solanales; Solanaceae. The record is from RefSeq and is a predicted model, not a curated record.
AUAAUUACCUGGACCGGGGCAAUGAAUGAUCAAUAAGGUCCAUGGCCUAGGUUGGUGACCUUCAUUGCACUUUGGAGGGGUGUUAGCCUAAGGUUGGCUCAAGUGAUCGAGCCUUUGUCAUAAUUUGUGAAAGUGGGGGCUUGUGUCCGCGCGGCCCCUUC